This is a small nuclear RNA of Gorilla gorilla gorilla (western lowland gorilla), 107 nucleotides long. The record is from Ensembl. Lineage: Eukaryota; Metazoa; Chordata; Mammalia; Primates; Hominidae.
GUGCUUAGUUUGGCAAUACAUAUAAUAAAAUUGGAAUGAUAAAGAGUGGAUUAAAAUGGCCCUUGUAUAAGAAUAACAUGGAAACUCAUAAAGAAUUCCAUAUUUUU